Molecule: transfer RNA, 72 nt
Filed under: Echinostoma caproni
Lineage: Eukaryota; Metazoa; Platyhelminthes; Trematoda; Plagiorchiida; Echinostomatidae
Rfam family: tRNA
About the family: Transfer RNA (tRNA) molecules are approximately 80 nucleotides in length.
Source: Rfam by way of RNAcentral
GCCGUCGUGGUCUAGUGGUUAGGACACUGCGUUGUGGCCGCAUUAACCCAGGUUCGAAUCCUGGCGACGGCA